RNAcentral lists this long non-coding RNA (1175 nucleotides) under Marmota monax (woodchuck). The record is from RNAcentral. Lineage: Eukaryota; Metazoa; Chordata; Mammalia; Rodentia; Sciuridae.
GGAAGACAUGCUGGGGAUUGAACCCAGAACCCGGGCCUUGCACAUGCUAGGCAAUUGCUCUACACUGAGCCACACCCCCAGCCCUUUUUACUUCUUAUUUUGAGACAGUGUCUUGCUAUGUGACAGGCUGGCCUCAGACUUUUGAUCCUCUUGCCUCAGCCUCCCAAGUCACUGGGAUGACAGACGUGUGCCACCACACCUAGCACUAAAGAACAAACCUGGCAUGGUUCCAUUUAUAUGAGUGUUUAAAAUAGUCAAGCCCUUGGAAACAGGGUAGAAGGGUGGUCGUCGGGGAGCAGGGAGAGGACUUUCUGUUUGAUGGGUGCGGAGUUUCAGUCUGGGAACUGAAAAAGCUUAGGAGACGAUUGUGUGACAAUGGGAAAACCACUGAACCAUACACCCGAAAACGGAGAAAAUGACAAAUUUUAUAUGAUGCAUAUUUUACCCUGAUUUUAACUAAGGGGGUGCACAGCUUGUUUAGCAGUGGGGAAGCCUGGCCACGGAGCUGAGUCUUCCUGAGCCGGAGAACAGGCUCCAAGGUCAGGACCAGGAGGUGACAGGAGGCUGAGCCUGGCUGGCUGAGCCUUGGGUUCCAGGUUGAGAAAUUUGGGAUUAAGAUCCCCACUGAGUCACUCCUUGGGGUCAAGCCUUUGUCUCUUGGUUAAAACAAACCAUUUCUUGGGGUGGGGUAAUCCGGCACAUUAAUCCAUGGGCGACUGACAUCCUUGAGCAGGGCGCUCCUCAUGUCCUGAUGAGAAGUGCCCUGGGUCCAUGAAAUCUGGUGGUUUCUCCAUUCCCAGCUUCGGGCCCUAACUAUUCCUGGCCUCAGUUUGUUCAUCUGUAAAAUGGCACAGCAGUGGCUUUGUAUAAGGGGGAGAGUUCAUUCUAAGUACGGGUCACUCGUUUCCCUCUCCACUGCUAGAAGAAAGAGUGGUGGCUGGUCUGUUAGAAGCUGUUACAGGUGAGGGAAGUCAGGGCAAACCCCAGAGGGGCCAAUUUUUUUGUGGGGGUGGGUAGCUUCAUGUGUGCUGGACAAGUGCUCCACCACUGAACUGUGUCCCUGGCCCUUUUGUUGUUGUUGUUUAUUUUGACACAGGGUCUCACUAAGUGGCCCAGGCCGGCCUAGCGCCUGGGAUUAGCCUGCUUCUGCUUCCACAGCUGCUGGGAUUGCCGGC